Molecule: long non-coding RNA, 453 nt
Filed under: Homo sapiens (human)
Lineage: Eukaryota; Metazoa; Chordata; Mammalia; Primates; Hominidae
Description: non-protein coding lnc-SRSF9-2:1
Source: RNAcentral
AUGGCCAAGUCUAAGAACCACACCACACACAGCCAGUCCCGAAAUGGCACAGAAAUGGUAUCAAGAAACCCCGAUCACAAAGAUAUGAAUCCCUUAAGGGAGUGGACCCCAAGUUCCUGAGGAACAUGCGCUUUGCCAAGAAGCACAACAAGAAAGGCCUAAAAAAGAUGCAGGCCAACAGUGCCAGGGCCACGAGUGCACGUGCUGACGCUAUCAAGGCCCUUGUAAAGCCCAAGGAGGUUAAGCCCGAGAUCCCAAAGGGUGUCAGCCGCAAGCUCGAUCCACUUGCCUACAUUGCCCACCCCCAGGCUUGGGAAAUGUGCUCAUUCCUGCAUUGCCAAGGGGCUCAAGCUAUGUCGGUCAAAGGCCAAGGCCAAAGAUCAAACCAAGGCCCAGGCUGCAGCUCCAGCUUAGGCUCCCAAAGGUGCCCGGACACCUACGAAGGCUUCAGAG